GCCUCUGUAUCUCAGUGGUUAGAGCACUGGUCUAGUAAACCAUGGGUGGAGAGUUCGAGUCUCUGCAGAGGCU
Molecule: transfer RNA, 73 nt
Filed under: Nematostella vectensis (starlet sea anemone)
Lineage: Eukaryota; Metazoa; Cnidaria; Anthozoa; Actiniaria; Edwardsiidae
Rfam family: tRNA
About the family: Transfer RNA (tRNA) molecules are approximately 80 nucleotides in length. Their secondary structure includes four short double-helical elements and three loops (D, anti-codon, and T loops). Further hydrogen bonds mediate the characteristic L-shaped molecular structure. tRNAs have two regions of fundamental functional importance: the anti-codon, which is responsible for specific mRNA codon recognition, and the 3' end, to which the tRNAs corresponding amino acid is attached (by aminoacyl-tRNA synthetases). tRNAs cope with the degeneracy of the genetic code in two manners: having more than one tRNA (with a specific anti-codon) for a particular amino acid; and 'wobble' base-pairing, i.e. permitting non-standard base-pairing at the 3rd anti-codon position.
Source: Rfam by way of RNAcentral